CGAAACUUUCUUACACCGAAUGCUUGCAUUCACCGUAAGAAGUUGAGUGGCGGACGGGUGAGUAACACGUGGGUAACCUGCCUAAAAGAAGGGGAUAACACUUGGAAACAGGUGCUAAUACCGUAUAUCUCUAAGGAUCGCAUGAUUCUUAGAUGAAAGAUGGUUCUGCUAUCGCUUUUAGAUGGACCCGCGGCGUAUUAACUAGUUGGUGGGGUAACGGCCUACCAAGGUGAUGAUACGUAGCCGAACUGAGAGGUUGAUCGGCCACAUUGGGACUGAGACACGGCCCAAACUCCUACGGGAGGCAGCAGUAGGGAAUCUUCCACAAUGGACGCAAGUCUGAUGGAGCAACGCCGCGUGAGUGAAGAAGGUCUUCGGAUCGUAAAACUCUGUUGUUAGAGAAGAACACGAGUGAGAGUAACUGUUCAUUCGAUGACGGUAUCUAACCAGCAAGUCACGGCUAACUACGUGCCAGCAGCCGCGGUAAUACGUAGGUGGCAAGCGUUGUCCGGAUUUAUUGGGCGUAAAGGGAACGCAGGCGGUCUUUUAAGUCUGAUGUGAAAGCCUUCGGCUUAACCGGAGUAGUGCAUUGGAAACUGGAAGACUUGAGUGCAGAAGAGGAGAGUGGAACUCCAUGUGUAGCGGUGAAAUGCGUAGAUAUAUGGAAGAACACCAGUGGCGAAAGCGGCUCUCUGGUCUGUAACUGACGCUGAGGUUCGAAAGCGUGGGUAGCAAACAGGAUUAGAUACCCUGGUAGUCCACGCCGUAAACGAUGAAUGCUAGGUGUUGGAGGGUUUCCGCCCUUCAGUGCCGCAGCUAACGCAAUAAGCAUUCCGCCUGGGGAGUACGACCGCAAGGUUGAAACUCAAAGGAAUUGACGGGGGCCCGCACAAGCGGUGGAGCAUGUGGUUUAAUUCGAAGCAACGCGAAGAACCUUACC
Molecule: ribosomal RNA, 940 nt
Filed under: bacterium IARFR531
Lineage: Bacteria
Description: bacterial SSU rRNA
Rfam family: Bacterial small subunit ribosomal RNA
Source: RNAcentral